RNAcentral lists this ribosomal RNA (213 nucleotides) under uncultured bacterium. RNAcentral's name for it is "partial 16S ribosomal RNA". It matches the Rfam family "Bacterial small subunit ribosomal RNA", at positions 521 to 733 of the family's 1533-position model. The record is from RNAcentral.
UAAUACAGAGGGUGCAAGCGUUAAUCGGAAUUACUGGGCGUAAAGCGUGCGUAGACGGUUACGUAAGUCAGAUGUGAAAGCCCCGGGCUCAACCUGGGAAUUGCAUUUGAGACUGCGUAGCUAGGGUGCGGAAGAGGGAAGCGGAAUUUCCGGUGUAGCGGUGAAAUGCGUAGAUAUCGGAAGGAACACCAGUGGCGAAAGCGGCUUCCUGGU